This 468-nucleotide ribosomal RNA is filed under the name uncultured bacterium. RNAcentral describes it as "partial 16S ribosomal RNA". It matches the Rfam family "Bacterial small subunit ribosomal RNA", at positions 28 to 507 of the family's 1533-position model. The record is from RNAcentral.
GACGAACGCUGGCGGCGUGCUUAACACAUGCAAGUCGAACGGAAAGGCCCUGCUUUUGUGGGGUGCUCGAGUGGCGAACGGGUGAAUAACACGUGAGUAACCUGCCCUUGACUUUGGGAUAACUUCAGGAAACUGGGGCUAAUACCGGAUAGGAGCUCCUGCUGCAUGGUGGGGGUUGGAAAGUUUCGGCGGUUGGGGAUGGACUCGCGGCUUAUCAGCUUGUUGGUGGGGUAGUGGCUUACCAAGGCUUUGACGGGUAGCCGGCCUGAGGGGGUGACCGGCCACAUUGGGACUGAGAUACGGCCCAGACUCCUACGGGAGGCAGCAGUGGGGAAUAUUGCACAAUGGGCGGAAGCCUGAUGCAGCAACGCCGCGUGCGGGAUGACGGCCUUCGGGUUGUAAACCGCUUUCGCCUGUGACGAAGCGUGAGUGACGGUAAUGGGUAAAGAAGCACCGGCUAACUACGUG